Molecule: ribosomal RNA, 30 nt
Filed under: Chenopodium berlandieri subsp. nuttalliae
Lineage: Eukaryota; Viridiplantae; Streptophyta; Magnoliopsida; Caryophyllales; Amaranthaceae
Source: RNAcentral
CCUCCUGGGAAAUCCUCGUGUUGCACCCCU